RNAcentral lists this long non-coding RNA (487 nucleotides) under Calidris pugnax (ruff). RNAcentral's name for it is "lncRNA (ENSCPUG00000003311.1)". Lineage: Eukaryota; Metazoa; Chordata; Aves; Charadriiformes; Scolopacidae. The record is from RNAcentral.
UUUUUACUGCCCACACUUGUGCCUUCUGCGUUGUGCCAGAGCUUCUCCCACCCCGUACUCAUCCCACAGCUCAUUCAGCAGCCUUUUCAUCUGCUCCUCACCUGCGGUUUUGGCUGUCCAGUUCUCUGGUGACAACUGGGUUUUCUGGAGGCCGGUGAAGAGCAGUACCCAGAGACAACCAGACCAGGACCUGACAAAUCAGGUGGGUGCAUCAGCCCGUGGCUCUUUGAGCAUCCUUCCUCCUGGAUGCUCCCCUCGGUGUGCGUCCCAAAGUUUGGGGUGAAAUGCUGUCUCACAGAGUGAAAAAGGCUCAGUUCCAAGUUACUGACACAGACCCGUUGCCUGCAUGAAAUUUGCUCCAUUUGGGAGCUACAGGUCCUGGGAGAUUUGGAUUCCUUGGUGCCUGUUCCAGACUUUUACCUUCUGUUUCUGUAAGAAUUCAGAAGCCAAUUGAAACUGGAGCCGCUGUUUACCUCUGUCUUUGUGC